Molecule: small RNA, 376 nt
Filed under: Pongo abelii (Sumatran orangutan)
Lineage: Eukaryota; Metazoa; Chordata; Mammalia; Primates; Hominidae
Description: retained intron
Source: RNAcentral
GUUGUAGAUGAGCAUGAGAGUGUGGAGCAGAGUCGGCGAGCGCAAGCUGAGCCCAUCAACCUGGACAGCUGUCUCCGUUCUUUCACCAGUGACGAAGAGCUAGGGGAAAAUGAGAUGUACUACUGUUCCAAGUGUAAGACCCACUGCUUAGCAACAAAGAAGCUGGAUCUCUGGAGUCUUCCACCCUUUCUGAUUAUUCACCUUAAGCGAUUUCAAUUUGUAAAUGAUCAGUGGAUAAAAUCACAGAAAAUUGUCAAAUUUCCUCGGGAAAGUUUUGAUCCGAGUGCUUUUUUGGUACCACGAGACCCAGGUCUCUGCCAGCAUAAACCACUCACACCCCAGGGGGAUGAGCUCUCCAAGCCCAGGAUUCUGGCAA